GGCUCAGGAUGAACGCUGGCGGCGUGCUUAACACAUGCAAGUCGAACGAACCUUCGGGUUAGUGGCGGACGGGUGAGUAACGCGUGAGAAUCUGCCCUCAGGAGGGGGAUAACGGUUGGAAACGACCGCUAAUACCCCAUAUGCCGAUAGGUGAAAUGAAUUUCGCCUGAGGAUGAGCUCGCGUCUGAUUAGCUUGUUGGUGAGGUAAUGGCUCACCAAGGCUUCGAUCAGUAGCUGGUCUGAGAGGAUGAUCAGCCACACUGGGACUGAGACACGGCCCAGACUCCUACGGGAGGCAGCAGUGGGGAAUUUUCCGCAAUGGGCGAAAGCCUGACGGAGCAACGCCGCGUGAGGGACGAAGGCCUCUGGGCUGUAAACCUCUUUUCUCAAGGAAGAAGAUAUGACGGUACUUGAGGAAUAAGCCACGGCUAAUUCCGUGCCAGCAGCCGCGGUAAUACGGGAGUGGCAAGCGUUAUCCGGAAUUAUUGGGCGUAAAGCGUCCGCAGGCGGCCUUUCAAGUCUGCUGUUAAAGCGUGGAGCUUAACUCCAUUAUGGCAGUGGAAACUGAUCGGCUUGAGUAUGGUAGGGGCAGAGGGAAUUCCCGGUGUAGCGGUGAAAUGCGUAGAUAUCGGGAAGAACACCAGUGGCGAAGGCGCUCUGCUGGGCCAUUACUGACGCUCAUGGACGAAAGCCAGGGGAGCGAAAGGGAUUAGAUACCCCUGUAGUCCUGGCCGUAAACGAUGAACACUAGGUGUCGGGGGAAUCGACCCCUUCGGUGUCGUAGCUAACGCGUUAAGUGUUCCGCCUGGGGAGUACGCACGCAAGUGUGAAACUCAAAGGAAUUGACGGGGGCCCGCACAAGCGGUGGAGUAUGUGGUUUAAUUCGAUGCAACGCGAAGAACCUUACCAGGGUUUGACAUCCUGAGAACCUCUUAGAAAUUAGAGGGUGCCUUCGGGAAUUCAGUGACAGGUGGUGCAUGGCUGUCGUCAGCUCGUGUCGUGAGAUGUUGGGUUAAGUCCCGCAACGAGCGCAACCCACGUUUUUAGUUGCCAGCAUUUAGUUGGGCACUCUAGAAAGACCGCCGGUGAUAAACCGGAGGAAGGUGUGGAUGACGUCAAGUCAUCAUGCCCCUUACACCCUGGGCUACACACGUACUACAAUGCUACGGACAAAGGGCAGCAAACUCGCGAGAGCUAGCAAAUCCCAUAAACCGUGGCUCAGUUCAGAUCGUAGGCUGCAACUCGCCUACGUGAAGUAGGAAUCGCUAGUAAUCGCAGGUCAGCAUACUGCGGUGAAUACGUUCCCGGGCCUUGUACACACCGCCCGUCACACCAUGGAAGUUGGCCAUGCCCGAAGUCGUUACUCCAACCCUUGUGGAGGAGGACGCCGAAGGUGGGGCUAAUGACUGGGGUGAAGUCGUAACAAGGUAGCCGUACCGGAAGGUGCGGCUGGAUCACCUCCUAACAGGGAGACAACAAAAUGUAAAUAUUAAUUUUGUCACCUUAGGUCGAUCGGUAUCUCAGAUUCUUAUUUUUUAAGAAUUUCAGUUUCUAAGUUUUUUCUAGGUCACACCCAUCACUUUUUCCUGGGCCAUUAGCUCAGGUGGUUAGAGCGCACCCCUGAUAAGGGUGAGGUCCCUGGUUCAAGUCCAGGAUGGCCCAUAUCUCUAUGUUGGGGGUAUAGCUCAGUUGGUAGAGCGCCUGCUUUGCAAGCAGGAUGUCAGCGGUUCGAGUCCGCUUACCUCCACUGAAUACCACCUCUUACAUAUUUAAAGAGGGAAAUUGUUUUGAGUCGUGUCCUAAUUUGCUCUGAGCGAAUCUAGCUUCCUAUUUUAUUCAAUAAAUAAGAUGCUGGACUCAUUGAAUUUUUUUUCAUUGUUUUCAGAGAACCUUGACAACUGCAUAGAUUAUUUUUGAAGACAAUAAGCAUCUUUAAUGAUGCAGAUUUAUUAUUUGUGCGAAUGCAUUAAAUAGCAAUUCUAUUAAGCUGAUGCUUCAAUUAUUGAAGUUAUUGGUCAAGCUACAAAGGGCUCACGGAGGAUACCUAGGCACACAGAGGCGAUGAAGGACGUGGUUACCUGCGAUAAGUCUCGGGGAGUUGGAAGCACACUUUGAUCCGGGAAUUUCCGAAUGGGGCAACCCCUUGAACGACCAACUGAAUAUAUAGGUUGGUGCGAGCUAACCCAGCGAACUGAAACAUCUUAGUAGCUGGAGGAAGAGAAAGUAAAUAACGACUCCCUCAGUAGCGGCGAGCGAACGGGGAAUAGCCCAAACCGAUAGUCUUGACUAUCGGGGUUGUGGGACAGCAAUAUGGAUCAACAAUUCUAGAAGAAACGUUUGAAUGGCGUGCCAUAGAGGGUGAAAGCCCCGUAAUUGAAAGAUGAGUUGACCUAGCUGUAUCCCGAGUAGCACGGAGCACGUGGAAUUCCGUGUGAAUCUGCGAGGACCACCUCGUAAGGCUAAGUACUACUGUGUGACCGAUAGUGAAACAGUACCGCGAGGGAAAGGUGAAAAGAACCCCGGGAGGGGAGUGAAAUAGAACAUGAAACCGUGAGCUUACAAGCAAUGGGAGCCCGACUAAUCGGGUGACCGUGUGCCUGUUGAAGAAUGAGCCGGCGACUUAUAGGCACUGGCGGGUUAAACCGGAAAUGGUGGAGCCACAGCGAAAGCGAGUCUUAAUAGGGCGUUUGUCAGUGUUUAUAGACCCGAACCCUGGUGAUCUAACCAUGGCCAGGAUGAAGCUUGGGUGAUACCAAGUGGAGGUCCGAACCGACUGAAGUUGAAAAUUCAGCGGAUGAGCUGUGGUUAGGGGUGAAAUGCCAAUCGAACCAGGAGCUAGCUGGUUCUCCCCGAAAUACGUUGAGGCGUAGCGUCUAGUGCUCCAGCAGGGGGGUAAAGCAACCAUUUCGGUGCGGGCUGCGAAAGCGGUACCAAAUCGAUAUGAACUCUGAAUACCCUGUGUGUAACUAGGCAGUCAGACUGUGGGGGAUAAGCUCCAUAGUCAAGAGGGAAACAGCCCAGACCGCCAGCUAAGGUCCCAAAAUUAACGCUAAGUGAUAAAGGAGGUGGGAUUGCCCAGACAACCAGGAGGUUUGCCUAGAAGCAGCCAUCCUCAAAGGAGUGCGUAAUAGCUCACUGGUCGAGCGAUCCUGCGCCGAAAAUGAAUGGGGCUAAGCGUUAUACCGAAGCUGCGGAUAAAUUUAUUUAUGGUAGGGGAGCGUUCUAUGUUGGGUGAAGCGUUAGCGUAAGCGGACGUGGACGGCAUAGAAGUGAGAAUGUCGGCUUGAGUAGCGAAAACAUGGGUGAGAAUCCCAUGCCCCGAAACCCUAAGGGUUCCUCCGGCAGGCUCGUCCGCGGAGGGUUAGUCUGGACCUAAGGCGAGGCCGAAAGGCGUAGUCGAUGGAUAACAGGUCAAUAUUCCUGUACCAGUUAUGUUUUGGGAAGGGGGACGGAGAAGGCUAGCCAGGCCAGAUGUUGGUUACUGGUUCAAGCGUUCAAGGCUUUGAGAGAUGGAGAAAACAUCUCGAGCUGAGGCGUGAGUACGAGCUGCUACGGCAGCGAAGUUGGUGAUGUCAUGCUUCCAAGAAAAGCCCUAUACCCGUUAAGACAUAAAUGCCAGUACCCGAAACCGACACAGGUGGGGUGGUAGAGAAUACCGAGGGGCGCGAGAUAACUCUCUCUAAGGAACUCGGCAAAAUGGCCCCGUAACUUCGGGAGAAGGGGUGCCAGCGAGAGCUGGUCGCAGUGAAGAGGCGCAAGCGACUGUUUACCAAAAACACAGGUCUCCGCUAAGUCGCAAGACGAUGUAUGGGGGCUGACACCUGCCCAGUGCCGGAAGGUUAAGGAAGCUGGUUAGCUUUUAGCAAAGCUAGCGACUGAAGCCCCGGUGAACGGCGGCCGUAACUAUAACGGUCCUAAGGUAGCGAAAUUCCUUGUCGGGUAAGUUCCGACCCGCACGAAAGGUGUAACGAUUUGCGCGCUGUCUCGGAGAGAGGCUCGGCGAAAUAGAAUUGUCUGUGAAGAUGCGGACUACAUACACCCGGACAGAAAGACCCUAUGAAGCUUUACUGUAGUUUGAUAUUGUGCUCGGGCUCUAAUUGCGCAGAAUAGGUGGGAGACGUUGAAAUAGUGCUUGUGGGCAUUAUUGAGUCAUCGGUGAGAUACCACUCUAUUAGAGCUAGGGUUCUAACGCUUACCCGUUAUCCGGGAAGCGGACAGUAUCUGAUGGGCAGUUUGACUGGGGCGGUCGCCUCCUAAAAGGUAACGGAGGCGCACAAAGGUUCCCUCAGGCUGGUUGGAAAUCAGUCGUUGAGUGCAAAAGCAGAAGGGAGCUUGACUGUGAGACCUACAAGUCGAACAGGGACGAAAGUCGGUUUUAGUGAUCCGACGGUUCUGCGUGGAAGGGCCGUCGCUCAACGGAUAAAAGUUACUCUAGGGAUAACAGGCUGAUCUCCCCCAAGAGUUCACAUCGACGGGGAGGUUUGGCACCUCGAUGUCGGCUCAUCGCAACCUGGGGCUGAAGUCGGUCCCAAGGGUUGGGCUGUUCGCCCAUUAAAGCGGUACGCGAGCUGGGUUCAGAACGUCGUGAGACAGUUCGGUCCAUAUCCGGUGUAUGCGCAGGAAUAUUGAGAGGAUUUCUCCCUAGUACGAGAGGACCGGGAGGAACGCACCUCUGGUGUGCCAGUUAUCGUGCCAACGGUAAACGCUGGGUAGCCAUGUGCGGAGUGGAUAACCGCUGAAAGCAUCUAAGUGGGAAGCCCACCUCAAGAUGAGUAUUGCCAUGGCUUAAGCCAGUAAGGUCACGGGAAGAACACCCGUUGAUAGGCUCUACGUGGAAGCUUGGUAACAAGUGCAGCGGAGGAGUACUAAUAGACCGAGGGCUUGACCAAAUAAACUUAAUUUAUUUUCUUUAAUUUAUAUAAUUUUCUAUGCAGUUCUCAAGGUUCACACUAUCCUGGUGUUCAUGGCGAUGUGGAACCACUCCGAUCCAUCUCGAACUCGGUUGUGAAACGCAUCAGCGGCGAAAAUAUUUAGGGGGUAGCCCCUUGAGAAAAUAGCUCAAUGCC
RNAcentral lists this ribosomal RNA (5066 nucleotides) under Prochlorococcus marinus subsp. pastoris str. CCMP1986. Lineage: Bacteria; Bacillati; Cyanobacteriota; Cyanophyceae; Synechococcales; Prochlorococcaceae. The record is from RNAcentral.